Molecule: non-coding RNA, 538 nt
Organism: Danio rerio (zebrafish)
Lineage: Eukaryota; Metazoa; Chordata; Actinopteri; Cypriniformes; Danionidae
Source: Ensembl
UGUUUUCCACGAGCGAGGCGGCCAGCUUGGCUGCAGCUGUCCAAACCGGAGGGCCUUGGGAAGGGGAGGAGAGAAGCCUGGAUUGGAGGACGGUGCACUUGGCAAAGGUCAGACACCCCAAGACAGCUUUGAGUGUGGGAACUGUCCGCGAAGGCAUGUGCGAAAUGCUCUGCUCUGUGGUAUCGUUUUUCCUCCAAGGCUGCCUGAAGGGAGAAGCUCGAUGAAAGAAACAAAGACAAAGAAAAAUGUUUGGAACAACUUGAGGGUAAGUAAAUAGUGAAUAAAUAAAUUUUUGAGUGAACUAUCCCAUAUUUAGACUUAAUAGUCAACUUAAUAGUCAACUACUGUAGUUUCAAUAGUUUCAACUCAAUAGUUUCAAGCUACAAAUUUACUUUUUUUAUUUUUGUCAACUGUUCACUUUUAGGGCAACGGAUUACUGACUUUUUAAAGUAAAGUAAUUAAUAGCUUUUUAGUAAAAUAAGUCAAGUAAAAUGUAUUUAAAAGUAACCCUGGUUUGAUUUUUUGAAGAGCACAACUA